AUGAGGAAAGGCACUCUCGCUCUCGCGCUCUUCCUCCUCCUCACCUUUGCUUCCCAUGGCGUAUGGUGUGCGGCAGCUGCGAGAAGCGCCAUGGCCGAGGAGGACGCAGCUCAUCGUCAUCAUCUGAGGCCUCAUCAACAUGAAACCCAAGAGGGGAGGAUGCAGACUGCCAGGAAGGUUGGGCGCAUGGCAGGCGGCUCUGGGGAAGCCAGUGGUAGGAACACCGGUGGCGCCGCAGACACAGGGCCGCACAACACCAAGAACGGCGGCACUGUGGCCCUGCCGGCCGCGUCGACCUCUGCUUUGGCGCUGGUUUUCACAGCUACCGUCCUUCCCUCGACGCUCAGCUUCUGA
This 354-nucleotide ribosomal RNA is filed under the name Triticum aestivum (bread wheat). RNAcentral's name for it is "partial small subunit ribosomal RNA". Lineage: Eukaryota; Viridiplantae; Streptophyta; Magnoliopsida; Poales; Poaceae. The record is from RNAcentral.